UUUUCGAGUCAACGCGUCCGACUGAGGACCGUAGAGACGCAUUGUCAGGUUGAAUGACCAUUCGAGACCACAACAAUUCCGUUGUGAGCAAAGCACGAUCGGCGACGAGCAAAAAUUCUGUUGCGCCGGCAUGCGGCCGGGCACCACCUUCGUGGCACCCGGCGAAUGCCGGAGUCAGGCAGCCUUGUCGGUAUGAAUGACCGUAUCGCGGAGUUCCCGCGCGUUGCGGGUCGCAUCCUCGACAGUCCCCUGCGUCAG
This 258-nucleotide unclassified non-coding RNA is filed under the name Hevea brasiliensis (rubber tree). The record is from RNAcentral. Lineage: Eukaryota; Viridiplantae; Streptophyta; Magnoliopsida; Malpighiales; Euphorbiaceae.